GAUGAACGCUGACAGAAUGCUUAACACAUGCAAGUCUACUUGAACUUCGGUUUGGGUGGCGGACGGGUGAGUAACGCGUACAGAACUUGCCUCACAGUUAGGGACAACAUUUGGAAACGAAUGCUAAUACCUGAUAUUAUGAUUUUAGGGCAUCCUAGGAUUAUGAAAGCUAUAUGUGCUGUGAGAGAGCUUUGCGUCCCAUUAGCUAGUUGGAGAGGUAACGGCUCACCAAGGCGAUGAUGGGUAGCCGGCCUGAAAGGGUGAACGGCCACAAGGGGACUGAGACACGGCCAUUACUCCUACGGGAGGCAGCAGUGGGGAAUAUUGGACAAUGGACCAAAAGUCUGAUCCAGCAAUUCUGUGUGCACGAUGACGUUUUUCGGAAUGUAAAGUGCUUUCAGUUGGGAAGAAAAAAAUGACGGUACCAACAGAAGAAGUGACGGCUAAAUACGUG
RNAcentral lists this ribosomal RNA (454 nucleotides) under uncultured bacterium. RNAcentral describes it as "partial 16S ribosomal RNA". It matches the Rfam family "Bacterial small subunit ribosomal RNA", at positions 28 to 507 of the family's 1533-position model. The record is from RNAcentral.